This 489-nucleotide small RNA is filed under the name Pan troglodytes (chimpanzee). RNAcentral describes it as "retained intron". The record is from RNAcentral. Lineage: Eukaryota; Metazoa; Chordata; Mammalia; Primates; Hominidae.
UUGACAGUACUAUACUUUUUUUUUGAGAUAAGCAUAAAAUAUUUCUUUGUUUGUUUUUAUUAGUGGGAGGCGAAAGUGCAACAAGGGGAAAGAGAUUUUGAACAGAUAUCUAAAACGAUUCGAAAAGAAGUGGGAAGAUUUGAGGCAUGUAUAAUAAUUUUGCAUUUAUCUUAACAACAUGGUCACAUUUUGCUGCAAUUUUGUGGUAAAGUUGAAUUUAGCUUUCUACUAACGGACUUUUUAAAAUGUACUUCAACAGAAAGAACGAGUGAAGGAUUUUAAAACCGUUAUCAUCAAGUACUUAGAAUCACUAGUUCAAACACAACAACAGCUGAUAAAAUACUGGGAAGCAUUCCUACCUGAAGCCAAAGCCAUUGCCUAGCAAUAAGAUUGUUGCCGUUAAGAAGACCUUGGAUGUUGUUCCAGUUAUGCUGAAUUCCACAGUGAAAUCAUUUAAAACCAUCUAAAUAAACCACUAUAUAUUUUAUG